UGCCUGACAGCUGACGGGACGUGGCCUGCAUCCCAGCAUCGGGCAGAGCAAGCAACUACAUACGGGGGGGGGGGGGGCCCAAAACAUACCCACAGAUGGUGCCAUCGAUCUAAGGGACGGGUGCCCCCACACAGAAGGCCCCGGGUCCGGCCGUGCGUGUAUGCAGGCACCAUCGGGGACGGGACACCCAGGGAAGGAGGGCACUUGAGGCAAAGGUGACCAAACACCUCCAGAAACAGGGAGGGCAGCUGCAGUCCCCAGAGCCUCUAGAACCUUCUGUUCUGGAACCCGGUGGGAGCACGCAUUCACCAGACUUGGUGCCCCCACAAAGAACCAGGUGGGUCUCUCAAAGGGCCUGGGGGCCAAGCCAUCCCCACAGGAGACCCAGCCUAACUGGUAAAAACAAGGAAAUGACCCCAUCUGCAUGUUUCAACGAAGGAAAGCGCAGGAGAGAAUGAAGGCCAGGGUUGCUGAGGAAGAGCUGACGGCGGGAACACAGGCACACUCGCACAAAGGCCCCGCGGGCCACCCCACAAGGACAAGGAGAUCACCGUGUUGAAGGCCACUCACCUCCCCGGCUGGGCGCUCCUGCUGGCCGGUCUGCGCAGCAUCCCAGGAUGCGCCCAGCUUGAAGCUCACGCACUGGAUGACGGUGCCAGUGUUGAGGCCGGCUUGCAGGAGCAGCUGCAGCAUCAGAAGCAACCGCAGAACAGCAACGCAUACCUUGAUGGCUGGCGGGUAGUCUUUGAAGAUCUCCAGGAUUCUCAUGAUGCUGAACGACAGGUACCCAGAGGCAGUGAACAGCAGCGGGGACGCGAGGCUGCAGAUGGCAAUCAGCACCUCCACCUGACGGGAAGCAGGUGAGAACGCGGGUCUGGCCGGCCCGAGGGGCCCGGGAGCCGCUGUCUGCACGGGCAGGGGUGGACGUCUGCCACAAUGGGCAGGGAGGGUGGACGUGGCCCUGGGCUCAGCACGAGGCCCUCGCCAGGCUCUCUGCUCUUGGUCACCAUGAGCUCCACGCGUGGCCUGUGUCCCACCAGAUCCCCUGCCUCGCGCACAACUAACCACUCUGUUCAAAGAGCAACACAAACGAACGGCCGGCCUUCCCGCUGCCCUAAACCCUGUUCUUUUAAAACCCCACCCACAUCGGAGGACGAUGCCUGGGUUGUCUCGGAGGCCACACAGCCUCGAGCAGGUGCUGAUAAAGCACGAACUCAGGUGUCACUGUCAAACAACAGACCUGGCAAGACUCAGGAUGGGCCGGAAGGACCAGGUGUUGUCCUUCCUAUGCUGAGUCACAGGACUCUCCUGACUUUCACACCAGAUGUGCUCACUUCCAGCCCUCAGAGUGCCACACAGCCCUCGCCAGGCCGUCCCUGGCUCGGCACCCUCUCAGGCUCAGCCCUGCAGCCCUAUCACCGUGGGGGAGAGCCCUGUCAAAUGGCAGCCCGAGAAGGGGUGAGCCAGGCCCUAGCAGUGCACAGCAGGUCCCUGGCACCUGGGGACAGGGCCUCACUUACCAGACACUUGCUUGGACACUCAGCUGUGACGUGACUGGCAAUGGCGCUUGGAAAACACUAAGAGAAAACAAAACACAAAGAUUUCAGAGGUGACAGUCAAGGAAGUUAAUUCCAAUCACGUGCUCCUGUUUCGAGGGGCACAUCCUUGUGGCCAGUAGAGCCGAAGCCUGCCUUCCUGGCUAGGGGGCUGGCAGGGCUGGAAAGGGCCGGGGGGAAGUGGGGUGGCCUCUCCGAGGCCUCAUGUGCUCUGUUCCAUGGCUGCAACGCACGUCUGCAAAGAGGCUGCAAGAGCCACACCAGGAGUGGCCUGGACGUCCCGGAAUUGCUGCCUGUGACAUUUUGCCACCUCGGCUGAGAUCGGGGACACCUGCCCUGAGUAUGCGUGCGUGUGCCUGCUGAAACUGAGGCCAUUCUCCUGAACCAUCUCAAUUCAGCAUCACACUGAGGAAAUGUCAUACGGAUUAUGUGUGUUACCUGUGUUCAGAUUCUCCCAACUACCCCAGUAAUGUCCUGUCGUAGGUGUUCUUUGUUCCUGGUUUAGGAUGCAAUCAGUGAUCACAAUGUGCUUAUGAGUCCCCUUGACCAGGGAGACCUAGGUCAUUGUCAGAUGCAGAGGUCCUGAAGAGCACACCAGCUAGCUGCAGAUGGGCAUUAGCUGGGGCCAGUCUGGUGCUUCCUCAUCAUCAGACUCAGGGAACCCCAGGAGACAUGGCUCCCCGCCAGGCCACCCACCACACUAUGACCUAGCGGUUAGGUGGGCUCUUCAGUGGCUCUCCUCCACUGAGAGGGCCCUUUCCUCUUUAUACUCAAUAAACGUCUUUUUCCACUUA
This is a long non-coding RNA of Neofelis nebulosa (Clouded leopard), 2350 nucleotides long. RefSeq lists it as uncharacterized. The record is from RefSeq and is a predicted model, not a curated record. The transcript is spliced from 3 exons. Lineage: Eukaryota; Metazoa; Chordata; Mammalia; Carnivora; Felidae.